CUAGGAAUCUGCCUGGUAGUGGGGNACAACGUUUCGAAAGGAACGCUAAUACCGCAUACGUCCUACGGGAGAAAGCAGGGGACCUUCGGGCCUUGCGCUAUCAGAUGAGCCUAGGUCGGAUUAGCUAGUUGGUGAGGUAAUGGCUCACCAAGGCGACGAUCCGUAACUGGUCUGAGAGGAUGAUCAGUCACACUGGAACUGAGACACGGUCCAGACUCCUACGGGAGGCAGCAGUGGGGAAUAUUGGACAAUGGGCGAAAGCCUGAUCCAGCCAUGCCGCGUGUGUGAAGAAGGUCUUCGGAUUGUAAAGCACUUUAAGUUGGGAGGAAGGGCAUUAACCUAAUACGUUAGUGUUUUGACGUUACCGACAGAAUAAGCACCGGCUAACUCUGUGCCAGCAGCCGCGGUAAUACAGAGGGUGCAAGCGUUAAUCGGAAUUACUGGGCGUAAAGCGCGCGUAGGUGGUUUGUUAAGUUGGAUGUGAAAGCCCCGGGCUCAACCUGGGAACUGCAUCCAAAACUGGCAAGCUAGAGUACGGUAGAGGGUGGUGGAAUUUCCUG
Molecule: ribosomal RNA, 560 nt
Filed under: Pseudomonas putida
Lineage: Bacteria; Pseudomonadati; Pseudomonadota; Gammaproteobacteria; Pseudomonadales; Pseudomonadaceae
Description: bacterial SSU rRNA
Rfam family: Bacterial small subunit ribosomal RNA
Source: RNAcentral